Molecule: ribosomal RNA, 253 nt
Filed under: uncultured bacterium
Lineage: Bacteria
Description: partial 16S ribosomal RNA
Rfam family: Bacterial small subunit ribosomal RNA
Source: RNAcentral
UACGUAGGGUGCAAGCGUUAAUCGGAAUUACUGGGCGUAAAGCGUGCGCAGGCGGUUUUGUAAGUCAGAUGUGAAAUCCCCGGGCUUAACCUGGGAACUGCGUUUGAGACUACAAGGCUAGAGUGUGGCAGAGGGGGGUGGAAUUCCACGUGUAGCAGUGAAAUGCGUAGAGAUGUGGAGGAACACCGAUGGCGAAGGCAGCCCCCUGGGUUAACACUGACGCUCAGGCACGAAAGCGUGGGGAGCAAACAGG